Molecule: long non-coding RNA, 696 nt
Organism: Raphanus sativus (radish)
Lineage: Eukaryota; Viridiplantae; Streptophyta; Magnoliopsida; Brassicales; Brassicaceae
Exons: 2
Source: RefSeq, a predicted model, not a curated record
AAGAAAACAGAAAAUACGGCGCUUAAUUAAGCCCUCGAAGCAGCGUGGUUUAGCGCCCACGUGUCAAGUUAUGAGAGGUGAGAGAUCGGUUACGCGUGAAACGCGAUCAAACUCGGUUUUGUCUCUCUCUCUCUUUUGAAUCCGCUCUCCUGACGCAAGGCGAUUUGAAAUCGUCUCCGUGGCUUUGCUAUCGUCGGCUUCUCCCUCGGCUCGACGGUGGUUCUUCUCGAUGGUGAUGGUCCUCUCGCUCGGUGGCGACGGAGCUCUCCUCGACGGCGAAGUAACAUGCGUGGAUCGAGGAUACAUGGUCCAUUCUCUUUCGAUGUGUUCCUGAUGCCUAGAGAGAUCUCCCGAGGCUAUUGGAAGAAGUAGUUCCUGGCUAGCCCGAGACUAUCUGUUUAGUUCUGUGAUUUGUUUCUCUUCACGGUUACAUUUGUUCUUCUUUUCGUGAUAGUUAUUUCCUAUUGUUUUUUUCUUAUUGACAUUACGUUUUCUGUUGAUUGCUGGACAGGUGAUAAGCGGUGGAAGACGAGUGGAAGUUUCCAUAUAUGACCUCCUGGUUGGUGAUGUUAUUCCCCUCAACAUUGAAAUGUGAUUUAUUCAUUAUCUGUUCUCUUCUUUUUUUCUGUCCAUACUCCAUAUUAACUUAUGUCAAACCGAAAAACCCUUAAAUAAACCACUUGCAUUGGAGGACAA